This 253-nucleotide ribosomal RNA is filed under the name uncultured bacterium. Its description in RNAcentral is "partial 16S ribosomal RNA". It matches the Rfam family "Bacterial small subunit ribosomal RNA", at positions 524 to 776 of the family's 1533-position model. The record is from RNAcentral.
UACGUAGGUGACAAGCGUUGUCCGGAUUUACUGGGCGUAAAGAGCGCGCAGGCGGUCGGUCAAGUCGAGUGUGAAAGCCCCCGGCUCAACUGGGGAGGGUCACUCGAUACUGAUCGACUCGAAGGCAGGAGAGGGAAGUGGAAUUCCCGGUGUAGUGGUGAAAUGCGUAGAUAUCGGGAGGAACACCAGUGGCGAAGGCGACUUCCUGGCCUGUUCUUGACGCUGAGGCGCGAAAGCUAGGGGAGCAAACGGG